Pelobates cultripes (western spadefoot toad) is the source of this 216-nucleotide non-coding RNA. The record is from the annotation of a GenBank genome assembly. NCBI's taxonomy places the organism in Eukaryota, Metazoa, Chordata, Amphibia, Anura, Pelobatidae.
CUCAAUCAUUGUAUUGUGUCAACAUUCGCUUUACAGGAGCGCCCUCUACUGAGCAAGUAAGGCGUACAGCGGCAGAAGCCGGAUUUAGAAUAGUACUCACCCUCCCCCCCCCAUCACUGAAAUCUGACAACAUCAAGGGUUGUCUUGGCAACUACUCAAUCUGUGUCAGCUGGCUUGAAAAAUCCAUAAAUAGUCGGCCAUCCAGCAGUUAUUUCC